This 425-nucleotide ribosomal RNA is filed under the name uncultured bacterium. RNAcentral describes it as "bacterial SSU rRNA". It matches the Rfam family "Bacterial small subunit ribosomal RNA", at positions 358 to 775 of the family's 1533-position model. The record is from RNAcentral.
GGAAUUUUCGGCAAUGGGCGAAAGCCUGACCGAGCAACGCCGCGUGAACGAAGAAGGUCUUCGGAUUGUAAAGUUCUGUUAUAGAGGAAGAACGGUGUACGUAGGAAAUGACGUACAAGUGACGGUACUCUGUGAGGAAGCCACGGCUAACUACGUGCCAGCAGCCGCGGUAAUACGUAGGUGGCGAGCGUUAUCCGGAAUCAUUGGGCGUAAAGAGCGCGCAGGUGGUUAAUUAAGUCUGAUGUGAAAGCCCACGGCUUAACCGUGGAGGGUCAUUGGAAACUGGUUGACUUGAGUGCAGAAGAGGGAAGUGGAAUUCCAUGUGUAGCGGUGAAAUGCGUAGAGAUAUGGAGGAACACCAGUGGCGAAGGCGGCUUCCUGGUCUGCAACUGACACUGAGGCGCGAAAGCGUGGGGAGCAAACAG